UCGUCGUCAGGACGAACGCUGGCGGCGUGCCUAACACAUGCAAGUCGAACGGGACUAUAUUGAUUAAUCUUCGGAAGCGUUGGUAUAGUUUAGUGGCGGACGGGUGAGUAACACGUGAGCAACCUGCCUUUCAGAGAGGGAUACCGUUUGGAAACGAACGCUAAUACCGCAUAAAGUAUCGUGACCGCAUGAUCGUGAUACCAAAGGAGCGAUCCGCUGAAAGAUGGGCUCGCGGCUGAUUAGAUAGUUGGUGGGGUAACGGCCUACCAAGUCGACGAUCAGUAGCCGGACUGAGAGGUUGAACGGCCACAUUGGGACUGAGACACGGCCCAGACUCCUACGGGAGGCAGCAGUGGGGAGUAUUGCGCAAUGGGGGCAACCCUGAACCGCAGCAACGCCGCGUGUGGGAAGAAGGUCUUCGGAUUGUAAACCAUUGUCUUCGGUGACGAUAAUGACGGUAGCCGAGGAGGAAGCUCCGGCUAACUACGUGCCAGCAGCAGC
RNAcentral lists this ribosomal RNA (501 nucleotides) under uncultured bacterium. RNAcentral describes it as "bacterial SSU rRNA". It matches the Rfam family "Bacterial small subunit ribosomal RNA", at positions 26 to 518 of the family's 1533-position model. The record is from RNAcentral.